UACGUAGGGGGCAAGCGUUGUCCGGAUUUAUUGGGCGUAAAGAGCGUGUAGGCGGUCAGGUAGGUCCGUUGUGAAAACUCGAGGCUCAACCUCGAGACGCCGAUGGAAACCAUCUGACUAGAGUCCGGAAGAGGAGAGUGGAAUUCCUGGUGUAGCGGUGAAAUGCGCAGAUAUCAGGAGGAACACCCGUGGCUAAGGCGGCUCUCUAGUACGGUACUGACGCUGAGACGCGAAAGCGUGGGGAGCGAACAGG
RNAcentral lists this ribosomal RNA (253 nucleotides) under uncultured bacterium. Its description in RNAcentral is "partial 16S ribosomal RNA". It matches the Rfam family "Bacterial small subunit ribosomal RNA", at positions 524 to 776 of the family's 1533-position model. The record is from RNAcentral.